Molecule: ribosomal RNA, 458 nt
Filed under: uncultured Burkholderia sp.
Lineage: Bacteria; Pseudomonadati; Pseudomonadota; Betaproteobacteria; Burkholderiales; Burkholderiaceae
Description: bacterial SSU rRNA
Rfam family: Bacterial small subunit ribosomal RNA
Source: RNAcentral
GGCUCAACCUGGGAACUGCAUUGGUGACUGGCAGGCUAGAGUAUGGCAGAGGGGGGUAGAAUUCCACGUGUAGCAGUGAAAUGCGUAGAGAUGUGGAGGAAUACCGAUGGCGAAGGCAGCCCCCUGGGCCAAUACUGACGCUCAUGCACGAAAGCGUGGGGAGCAAACAGGAUUAGAUACCCUGGUAGUCCACGCCCUAAACGAUGUCAACUAGUUGUUGGGGAUUCAUUUCCUUAGUAACGUAGCUAACGCGUGAAGUUGACCGCCUGGGGAGUACGGUCGCAAGAUUAAAACUCAAAGGAAUUGACGGGGACCCGCACAAGCGGUGGAUGAUGUGGAUUAAUUCGAUGCAACGCGAAAAACCUUACCUACCCUUGACAUGGUCGGAAUCCUGCUGAGAGGCGGGAGUGCUCGAAAGAGAACCGGCGCACAGGUGCUGCAUGGCUGUCGUCAGCUCG